GAUACCCCACGAUUAACCCAACCUACCCUAGCCAAUCAGUCUAUAUACCGCCGUCGCCAGCCCACCUCAUGAGAGAACAACAGUGGGCCAAAUAGUCAUGACACUAGAACGACAGGUCAAGGUGUAACUAAAGAGUAGGACUAAGAUGGGCUACAUUUUCUAACACAGAAUAAACGAAUUCAACUAUGAAAAAGAAACUGAAGGCGGAUUUAGCAGUAUAUUAAGAACAAAAUACUUAAUUGAAAUCAAUGCAAUGGAGUGCGCACACACCGCCCGUCAUCCCUGCUNACCAAAUAAACACAUUCAUAAUAAAACAUAAAACUAAACCCAGGGCAAGUCGUAACAUGGUAAGCGUACU
Molecule: ribosomal RNA, 358 nt
Filed under: Oligodon taeniolatus
Lineage: Eukaryota; Metazoa; Chordata; Lepidosauria; Squamata; Colubridae
Description: partial 12S ribosomal RNA
Source: RNAcentral